AUCAGACAGAACAGACAGACCAAGGAGGCUGCAUUUCAUAAAAUCAGAGGAGCCACUGAGUAAGAAGGUAACAUGAUCCGAGGGUAUCAGAGAAGAACCAGAGAUUCAGAAACUAGUUAGGUGGGCAAGAGUCCAGACCAGACUCGUGGGAGCCGCACCAUGAGGGAGAGAAUAAGAGAUACACAUCCUAAGGAGGGGACUAUGUGUCCUGCUUUUCCUGUGCAACUAAAAGCUCCUUUUGAUAGGCUCUGUCACGCGGCUAGAAGCAGGAGGAGGCUUGGAAAUUUAUAAAAGUGGGUCAAAUGGGAGAAGUCAGGGAAGAAUUCACAGUGCUGAGAUGAUAAGGAGAGCUGUAACCAGAAAGUGGACUUGACCAGGGGACUAAUGUGAGCAGGGAGUGGAGACAAUGAGCUUCGUGAGUGAGAGUUGCCAGCGUCCAUGCGGAGACAUGGCACCAAAGUUCAGAAGAGGGCUGGACUGCAGGGAAGGGGCAGGCUGCUCCAGUUCAGGGAGGCUUGUGGCCCCAGCUCUAGUGAGGCUGUGCCCCACACCAACCCAGCACACGCUUCCUUUACCCGGAAAGUCUGAGCAAGUUUCUCCAUCCUGGGACUUCAAGUUUCUGUAGUGGGCUGAAUGGUGGCGCUGAGAAAGGUAAGUCCCUGACGGAACUCCACUGCCCCCAGAAUCUGUGAGUGUGACCUUAUUUGGAGAAAGGGUCUGUGCAGAGGUAAUUAAGUUAAGGUUGUCAAGAAGAGAUCAUCUGGAUUAUCCAGGUGGGCCCUAAAUCCCACGACAAGUGUUCUUACAAGAGUCAGAAGAGGGGAAGGCCGUGUGAAGACGGAAGCAGAGACUGGAGGCAGGCAGCCACAACCCAAGGAACGCCUGGAGCCUGGAGCCACCCAAAGCUGGAGGAGGCCAAGGGUUCUCCCCUAGAGCCUCCGAACAGAGCACAGCCCACAGUCGCCUUGAUUUCGGACUUAUAGCCUCCGAAACUGUGAGAGAAUACAGUUCUGCUGUUUCAAGCCCCCCAAGGUUUUGGCAGUUUGUUGCCACAGCCCAAGGAAA
RNAcentral lists this long non-coding RNA (1065 nucleotides) under Capra hircus (goat). RNAcentral's name for it is "lncRNA (ENSCHIG00010028156.1)". Lineage: Eukaryota; Metazoa; Chordata; Mammalia; Artiodactyla; Bovidae. The record is from RNAcentral.